Molecule: transfer RNA, 97 nt
Filed under: Candidatus Bathyarchaeota archaeon
Lineage: Archaea; Thermoproteati; Candidatus Bathyarchaeota
Also listed under: 1 other name
Description: tRNA-Arg
Rfam family: tRNA
About the family: Transfer RNA (tRNA) molecules are approximately 80 nucleotides in length. Their secondary structure includes four short double-helical elements and three loops (D, anti-codon, and T loops).
Source: RNAcentral
GGGCCCGUAGCUCAGCUUGGAUGGAGAGGUACAUUAACCCUGGAACAGCGGCCUCCUAAGCCGUUGGUCGUGGGUUCAAAUCCCACCGGGCCCGCCA